GAUAAGGACUGGCAGGAAAGUUGUUUACUGAAACUAAAACAGGGAGGCACAAAGGAUAAGGAAGUUAGUUUGGCUUUGGAAGUAGGGAACAAAGAACAAGGACACUGAACAAGCUAAAUCUUUGAAGAGGAACUUCUUUUGUAUCUGACAAAGGUCUUCAAGGAAGAAGGGAGAGAGUGACCUUUCUAGGUUUUAUGGUUGAUGCUGGUGGAGAGGAGUUCUAGUUUCUAAGAUUUACCUUGAGGAAGAAGAACUGUAGUUUCUGUGGCUUGCAGACAAGCAAAGCAAAGCUGAUAAGCAUCAUUAGCAUCCAUUUUAAAUUUAAGCAAACUGAACUCCAAGAGGUUAAGAAACUUGCUCCAAGUGACACAGCUGCUCAACAAAGCUUCAGAAUAUCAGAGGGGGUCAAGUUCCUCAUGUUUGAUUUCUA
Molecule: long non-coding RNA, 430 nt
Filed under: Homo sapiens (human)
Lineage: Eukaryota; Metazoa; Chordata; Mammalia; Primates; Hominidae
Description: HSALNT0386490
Source: RNAcentral